This 487-nucleotide ribosomal RNA is filed under the name uncultured bacterium. RNAcentral describes it as "bacterial SSU rRNA". It matches the Rfam family "Bacterial small subunit ribosomal RNA", at positions 28 to 505 of the family's 1533-position model. The record is from RNAcentral.
GAUGAACGCUAGCUACAGGCUUAACACAUGCAAGUCGAGGGGCAGCAUGAACAUAGCUUGCUAUGUUUGAUGGCGACCGGCGCACGGGUGCGUAACACGUAUCCAAUCUACCCAUGGCUCGGGGAUAGCCUUUCGAAAGAAAGAUUAAUACCCGAUGGUCUCGGUUUAAGGCAUCUUAGACUGAGUAAAGAUUUAUCGGCGAUGGAUGAGGAUGCGUCUGAUUAGGUAGAUGGCGGGGUAAUGGCCCACCAUGCCUACGAUCAGUAGGGGUUCUGAGAGGAAGGUCCCCCACACUGGAACUGAGACACGGUCCAGACUCCUACGGGAGGCAGCAGUGAGGAAUAUUGGUCAAUGGGCGAGAGCCUGAACCAGCCAAGUAGCGUGAAGGAAGACUGCCCUAUGGGUUGUAAACUUCUUUUGUUCGGGAAUAAAGUGCAGUAUGUAUACUGUUUGUAUGUACCGUUCGAAUAAGCAUCGGCUAAUUCCG